RNAcentral lists this ribosomal RNA (758 nucleotides) under Streptomyces sp. RNAcentral's name for it is "bacterial SSU rRNA". It matches the Rfam family "Bacterial small subunit ribosomal RNA", at positions 39 to 815 of the family's 1533-position model. The record is from RNAcentral. Lineage: Bacteria; Bacillati; Actinomycetota; Actinomycetes; Kitasatosporales; Streptomycetaceae.
GUGAUGCGCUCUACCAUGCAAGUCGAACGAUGAAGCCCUUCGGGGUGGAUUAGUGGCGAACGGGUGAGUAACACGUGGGCAAUCUGCCCUUCACUCUGGGACAAGCCCUGGAAACGGGGUCUAAUACCGGAUAAUACUUCCACUCGCAUGGGUGGGGGUUGAAAGCUCCGGCGGUGAAGGAUGAGCCCGCGGCCUAUCAGCUUGUUGGUGAGGUAGUGGCUCACCAAGGCGACGACGGGUAGCCGGCCUGAGAGGGCGACCGGCCACACUGGGACUGAGACACGGCCCAGACUCCUACGGGAGGCAGCAGUGGGGAAUAUUGCACAAUGGGCGAAAGCCUGAUGCAGCGACGCCGCGUGAGGGAUGACGGCCUUCGGGUUGUAAACCUCUUUCAGCAGGGAAGAAGCGAAAGUGACGGUACCUGCAGAAGAAGCGCCGGCUAACUACGUGCCAGCAGCCGCGGUAAUACGUAGGGCGCAAGCGUUGUCCGGAAUUAUUGGGCGUAAAGAGCUCGUAGGCGGUCUGUCGCGUCGGAUGUGAAAGCCCGGGGCUUAACCCCGGGUCUGCAUUCGAUACGGGCAGACUAGAGUGUGGUAGGGGAGAUCGGAAUUCCUGGUGUAGCGGUGAAAUGCGCAGAUAUCAGGAGGAACACCGGUGGCGAAGGCGGAUCUCUGGGCCAUUACUGACGCUGAGGAGCGAAAGCGUGGGGAGCGAACAGGAUUAGAUACCCUGGCAGUCCACGCCGUAAACUGUGGGAA